GCUGCCCAAUUUUCUCUAGAAUUUACGACGCGUUCUUAUAAUCUAUUAACUAAUGUUAAUAUGAAUUCUCCCGUGAAGGUAACAACGUGACAUUGGGGAGAGCAAGUGAACGAUAACAUAGCUAAACGACAAAGGUAGACAGGGAGGUGAGCUUGGUCCAGACCCUUAGUAGCUGUCAGCUGAUUGAGAGCACUCCAUUGUCCGGAGGUGCUUAUGAUUCUUCUUUUGGUAUAUAUGCAUAUUUUGGGCACGACGGAGUCUUGUUCCGUCUAUAUGUUUAGUAUGUCAGUAGAGGCUCGUAGAUACGCAGUGUGGGUCAGAUGGUCUCACAAGAUGUUAUUAUUAUGUAUAUAUUAUUUUGAUGGCCGAGAGGAAAAUGUAUAUAAGUAUUUAUGUUUCUAUAUAAAAUAUGAUUUUCCUACAA
Lycium barbarum (goji berry) is the source of this 424-nucleotide long non-coding RNA. RefSeq lists it as uncharacterized. The record is from RefSeq and is a predicted model, not a curated record. The transcript is spliced from 2 exons. Lineage: Eukaryota; Viridiplantae; Streptophyta; Magnoliopsida; Solanales; Solanaceae.